Molecule: long non-coding RNA, 743 nt
Organism: Danio aesculapii
Lineage: Eukaryota; Metazoa; Chordata; Actinopteri; Cypriniformes; Danionidae
Exons: 3
Source: RefSeq, a predicted model, not a curated record
GAUUCGCUUUCUCCUUACCUGUUGAUUAAAUUGCAAUAGUCUUUGCAGUCUGAAAGAUGGUGGAGCUUUGGCGUGAGCCAUGAAGCGUCUUUGUGUUGUUUGUUUGUUGAUCUCGGGCAAUGAUUUCUUUUUUAUGGGGAUGUAAGAUUGCGAAUUGCUCCUGUACACGUGAAAUCUUGGGAGACUGUGUUUGAUAGUAAAAAACGCCUGAGUCUGGGGUGGAAAAAAGGAGGCUGGUUUUUGCAGUGAUCUCAGUUCUUUAUCAGAAAUGUUAUCGCUUGUCAGGACCUCAGACUCCAAGCAUUACGUCAGUUUCAAGACACCAACACUAUUAAUAUCAAGAAGCCCUUGCGGAGGAAAGCGCCACCCUAGAGCGCGCACUCUUAAAGGGACAGUGACCGCUAAAAGAGCUCCAGCUCCAGCCGCUCUGCAGCUUCGCCAUAGAAACUCACAGCUUUGCUUCUCAGCUGGUGGCUUCGCACUUCUGUUCUGAAAAAAAGAGAAAAAAAACACGUUUCCGCCGGUGAAUGAAAAGGAGGAGGACAGGAGAAUCCAGAAGAGAAGACGAGGAGGACCAUGCAUCUUUGAUUCCAGCCCAAAACCGAGUGAGUGAGGAACAUGCUGUACUGGACCAAAAAAAACUGUCAUAAAUGAGGUCAGCGCAACUCAUGCAUCAUAUUCCAAGCAUGCAUUGAAUACGUGAGUCAGUAAGGAGAUCCAAAUCAGUCCGAUUCACGAACAAA